UUUUUCAAAGAAGUUCCAUCUAAAUAUGUGUUAUGCAUUCUGUUGUUGCCGUAAUUUAGCCCAGAUAUGAUUUAUCGCGUUUGAUUGAAAAAAAAGAUAUAUAUAUAUAUAGUCCGACUAUGAUACUUUUAAAAAUACAAAAUAAUUAGUACUUAUAAAUUUUCUGUCAUUAGAUCUAUCUUUUCAAUUAUUUUUUUCUGUUAGAUUAUACUAGUCAACCAACUAUUCAUUCAAAAUUAAAAAAUAACUAUUAUCUUAUUCGUUUACUAUCGAUAGCAUUUCAGUUCAACUUUCUCCCUCUCUCUCUCUCUCUCUCU
RNAcentral lists this long non-coding RNA (317 nucleotides) under Ananas comosus (pineapple). Its description in RNAcentral is "long non-coding RNA (ACOM_LNC019139)". Lineage: Eukaryota; Viridiplantae; Streptophyta; Magnoliopsida; Poales; Bromeliaceae. The record is from RNAcentral.